Molecule: ribosomal RNA, 264 nt
Filed under: uncultured prokaryote
Description: partial 16S ribosomal RNA
Rfam family: Bacterial small subunit ribosomal RNA
Source: RNAcentral
UACGUAGGGGCAAGCGUUGUCCGGAAUUACUGGGCGUAAAGCGCACGCAGGCUGACUUAUAAGUCGGUAGUCUAAUGCGGAGGCUCAACUUCCGUUUAUCUAUCGAUACUGUAAGACUAGAGUAUGUGAGAGGGAAGUGGAAUUCCCGGUGUAGUGGUGAAAUGCGUAGAGAUCGGGAGGAACACCUGUGGCGAAGGCGGCCAGCUGGGAUACACCUGACGCUGAGAUGCGAAGGCGUGGGGAGCGAACGGGAUUAGAUACCCG